UACAGAGGGUGCGAGCGUUAAUCGGAAUUACUGGGCGUAAAGCGUGCGUAGACGGUUAUUUAAGUCGGGUGUGAAAGCCCCGGGCUCAACCUGGGAAUUGCAUUCGAGACUGAAUAGCUAGGGUACGGUAGAGGGAAGCGGAAUUUCCGGUGUAGCGGUGAAAUGCGUAGAUAUCGGAAGGAACAUCAGUGGCGAAGGCGGUUCUCUGGGACGGUACUGACGCUGAGACGCGAAAGCGUGGGGAGCGAACAGG
RNAcentral lists this ribosomal RNA (253 nucleotides) under uncultured bacterium. RNAcentral describes it as "partial 16S ribosomal RNA". It matches the Rfam family "Bacterial small subunit ribosomal RNA", at positions 524 to 776 of the family's 1533-position model. The record is from RNAcentral.